This is a long non-coding RNA of Oncorhynchus tshawytscha (Chinook salmon), 474 nucleotides long. The record is from Ensembl. NCBI's taxonomy places the organism in Eukaryota, Metazoa, Chordata, Actinopteri, Salmoniformes, Salmonidae.
CUAACAGGAGUAGAGGGGGAGGAGCAACAACAGACUAACAGAGGUAGAGAGAGAGAGGGGGAGGAGCAACAACAGACUAACAGAGGUAGAGAGAGAGGGGGAGGAGCAACAUCAGACUAACAGAGGUAGAGAGAGAGGGGGAGGAGCAACAUCAGACUAACAGAGGUAGAGAGAGAGGGGGAGGAGCAACAUCAGACUAACAGAGGUACAGAGGUAGAGAGAGAGAGAGUGCUGCAGAGAUGGUUGUCAUUCUGGAUGGUUCUUCCAUCUAAACAGAGGAUCUCUGGAGCUCUGUCAGAGCUCUGUCAGAGUAACCAUUGGGUUCUUGGUCACCUCCCUGACUAAAACUCUUCUCCCCCAAUUUCUUAGUUUGGCUGGGUGGCCAGCUCUAGGAAGAGUUUUGGUGGUUCCAAACAUCUUCUAUUAAACAAUGAUGAAGUGUUGAAGUGUGUUCUUGGGGACCAUCAGACAUUU